AAAAGGGGAAAAAUGGUAAAAAAGUAAGGCCAUAACCAAUACACCAUACCAUCGUGAAAGAUGACAUGUUGUACAUAACAGAAGGUUUGAAUGAUUGUCAUGAUCAACAUCUGUGCUUUUGGUUCGUGGCAUGAGAUUGCGACAGCUCGCCUGUAGACCUGUAAAGAUCAAGCCGAACCAGAGGCCGCGGAAGCAUUUCGAAAGUGGAGGGGCAUUGACCGAAAGGGGCACUUUUGUAUAUGACCAGAAUCAAACGAUUUUAUGACGUUCACGAG
Molecule: non-coding RNA, 275 nt
Organism: Paramuricea clavata
Lineage: Eukaryota; Metazoa; Cnidaria; Anthozoa; Malacalcyonacea; Plexauridae
Source: the annotation of a GenBank genome assembly